UGAAUAUAUAGGCCAGUAAGUCCAAAAAAUAACCAAAUACAAGGAUCUUAGUCAUUUUUCUACCUGCAACAGAAUGUGGUGACCUUGGUCUCCAUGAUCCUUGACAUCACAGCCAUGGAGACAGAAACAAUCAGCUACUCGACAAAAUGAAGGUAGUGGUCUGACGUCGAGAAAGAGAGGAGGGUCCGUAACACAUGCCUUCUUAAAUUUCAUCAAGGUUUUAUCGGUACAAUAUAACAUAGAUCAUGAAUAUAAUCCAAAUAGGCAACCAGUAGCAUGUGGGACGGAAAUAACUAUUGGCACAUGACAGCUAGAGCAGCAAAGAAGAAACAUGGCUUAUUUGCUUACCUAUUUUGAAUUACUUUCACUCAAAUCUGUAAGAACGCAACUUUUUUAACCCCUGGAGACACCCUUGUAAUCGACGACCACAUGAGUCCUGCCAUAAUGCCAUUAAUUAGAUUAUGCCAUGACCUGCUGUAACACAUAGGGGAAAUAAUAUUCAUACUUGAACAUGACUGAG
This 520-nucleotide long non-coding RNA is filed under the name Triticum aestivum (bread wheat). RNAcentral describes it as "long non-coding RNA (TAES_LNC022902)". The record is from RNAcentral. Lineage: Eukaryota; Viridiplantae; Streptophyta; Magnoliopsida; Poales; Poaceae.